AUUUAUUGCGGAAAUUUGUGAAAUUAAUGUUUGAUUUCUCCAUAAGAGUCAGACACAACAUGUGAAAUUAAUUGAGGGUUUCUCUAAUUUAUGAUUUUUUUUUUUGGAAAGAACAUCUUUAGACACUAUUCUUUCCCAUUUAUAUAGAUAUAUAUAUAUAUAUAUAACUAGCACGCAUAAUUUGAAGUGCUGUAUUAUUAAUUUUUUCAAAUAUAUAUGUAUAUAUAUUAUUAAUUGGAUAAGGUUGUUUUAUAAAGUACUUUUUUUGUAUUUGUGCAUUACAAGACAGAAAUAAUUGGAGCAUGUGGAGGAUUGUUGAUUUUCACCUUUCUUAUUUAAAUUCAUGAAGAAGUGUUUCAUUUCAAAUUUUUAUCAGGAGAUUUAUACAUCACUCAAGAAAAAGUUUAUUAAAUUUGGAUGAUUGAUUACACAAAGCUUCAAACAAAAGACGUAGGCAAUUCAGUAAUCUCCCAUUUACACCAAAUAUUGAGCAUUUGAAUCCAAAGGUGGUCAAAGCCAAAAAAUACAAAAUACAAAAUAAAACAACAGGUAAUUUCUAUAAUUUGCAACAACAAUUUAUGCUAUAUUACUGCAACCUUCAACACACGCUAUUGUAUUUAUGUAUGUAUAUAGGUGCAUGUUUAUUAAUAUGACUUUUUUUCUAUUUUCUCUUUUAAUCAAAAAGACUUUCAAACAAUGUAGUAAAUACUAUAUUUGAUGAUAAAAUGGUGUUUGUGUGUAUACAUAUUUAUGUACCAAUAGGAGUGAGACGUUUCCAUCCGCAACAAUGGUUGCAUGAUAUAAAUGCUCAAAACAAAUGUUCAUGUGAGACGAAGUGGAUGGAUCUCCUCACCACAGGAACUGAGACAAAAUGGGGUCUGUUUACUCCACAAAACCCUAACCCUAACCCUAAUCUCACUCCCCUCCCUUGCUCUCACUCCAGCUCUCCUUUUGCUUCUGUUUUGUAGAACAUGGUCCAUCUCUCAUCUAUUGGGGUCUAAUCUGAAACUCAACAUCCCACGCUGCCUUUACCUUUUUUUCCCACAAAAGUAGUGCUUGAUGUUGAUGUUGAUAACACCCAAAAGCUUUGCCUGUCCCUUAGUCUAAUGGAAUCCUUCAAAGGGGAUUUUAUUGUUUAUGUAUAUACAAUUGUACAUAUAUGUAAGUAAUUGAUAUUGUUAAUAAACCUGAAUUGAACACUGUACUUGGAGAAAAUAAUCACGUAUGCAAUUUUGAGCUCCAUUUGGACAGAAAUAUUCAAUUCCAAGAUAGUUUCAAGCAUUACAGUAAAUUUUAUUGAUUUAUUUUCCUGCAUUUGUAUGUGCACACAUGUGAAUGAAAUCCUUUAAAGCCACACCAUGCUCACAAUAAGUUACAUAACUUCCUUUGGAGAUGCAAAAUUUUGAUAGGAUAGAUAGAUAGGGGAAUGUUAAAUAGACCAAUAGUUUGACUAAAUAGACCCACCUUUGAUGAAGAAUAUGGUAAUUACAACAAAUGUGGUUGGUUUUUAUUAGUUGCAGAUCCGAUAAUGGGGAAAUGAAUCAUUGUUUUUUUUCAUGAAGGAUAGGAUGGGUGGGUCAAUUUUGUAAA
This 1590-nucleotide long non-coding RNA is filed under the name Physcomitrium patens. Its description in RNAcentral is "long non-coding RNA (PPAT_LNC010924)". Lineage: Eukaryota; Viridiplantae; Streptophyta; Bryopsida; Funariales; Funariaceae. The record is from RNAcentral.